AGCGAACGCUGGCGGCAGGCCUAACACAUGCAAGUCGAACGAACCUUUCGGGGUUAGUGGCGGACGGGUGAGUAACACGUGGGAACGUGCCUUUAGGUUCGGAAUAACUCAGGGAAACUUGUGCUAAUACCGAAUGUGCCCUUCGGGGGAAAGAUUAAUCGCCUUUAGAGCGGCCCGCGUCUGAUUAGCUAGUUGGUUGAGGUAAUGGCUCACCAAGGCGACGAUCAGUAGCUGGUCUGAGAGGAUGAUCAGCCACAUUGGGACUGAGACACGGCCCAAACUCCUACGGGAGGCAGCAGUGGGGAAUCUUGCGCAAUGGGCGAAAGCCUGACGCAGCCAUGCCGCGUGAAUGAUGAAGGUCUUAGGAUUGUAAAAUUCUUUCACCGGGGACGAUAAUGACGGUACCCGGAGAAGAAACCCCGGCUAACUUCGUG
This 434-nucleotide ribosomal RNA is filed under the name uncultured bacterium. Its description in RNAcentral is "partial 16S ribosomal RNA". It matches the Rfam family "Bacterial small subunit ribosomal RNA", at positions 29 to 507 of the family's 1533-position model. The record is from RNAcentral.